This 514-nucleotide ribosomal RNA is filed under the name uncultured Archaeospora. RNAcentral describes it as "SSU rRNA". It matches the Rfam family "Eukaryotic small subunit ribosomal RNA", at positions 569 to 1090 of the family's 1831-position model. Lineage: Eukaryota; Fungi; Glomeromycota; Glomeromycetes; Archaeosporales; Archaeosporaceae. The record is from RNAcentral.
AGCAGCCGCGGUAAUUCCAGCUCCAAUAGCGUAUAUUAAAGUUGUUGCAGUUAAAAAGCUCGUAGUUGAAUUUUAGGCCUGGCCGGAUGGUCCGUCUUUGGCGAGUACUGUUCUGUCGUCGGGUCUAUCCUUCUGGUGAGCCGGUAUGCCCUUUAUUGGGUGUGUCGGGGAACCAGGACCAUUACCUUGAAAAAUUAGAGUGUUUAAAGCGGGCAUUUGCUUGAAUAGAUUAGCAUGGAAUAAUAGAAUAGGACGUUGGUUCUAUUUUGUUGGUUUUAGGACCACCGUAAUGAUUAAUAGGGAUAGUUGGGGGCAUUAGUAUUCAAUUGUCAGAGGUGAAAUUCUUGGAUUUAUUGAAGACUAACUAUUGCGAAAGCAUUUGCCAAGGAUGUUUUCAUUAAUCAAGAACGAAAGUUAGGGGAUCGAAGACGAUCAGAUACCGUCGUAGUCUUAACCAUAAACUAUGCCGACUAGGAAUCGGGCGACGUUAUUUCAUGACUCGCUCGGCGCCUUA